UCCUACGGGGGGCAGCAGUGGGGAAUAUUGCACAAUGGGGGAAACCCUGAUGCAGCGACGCCGCAUGAGCGAAGGAGUAUUUCGGUAUGUAAAGCUCUAUCAGUAGGGAAGAAGAAAGACGGUACCUGACUAAGAAGCCCCGGCUAACUACGUGCCAGCAGCCGCGGUAAUACGUAGGGGGCAAGCGUUAUCCGGAUUUACUGGGUGUAAAGGGAGCGUAGACGGCUGUGCAAGUCUGAAGUGAAAGCCCGUGGCUCAACCGCGGAACUGCUUUGGAAACUGUAUGGCUUGAGUACUGGAGAGGC
Molecule: ribosomal RNA, 305 nt
Filed under: uncultured bacterium
Lineage: Bacteria
Description: bacterial SSU rRNA
Rfam family: Bacterial small subunit ribosomal RNA
Source: RNAcentral